CAGAGUUGCAGGACUCCGGCCCGAACCAUUCCAACCUGUGACCUACACCGUUGCUUCGGCGGGCGACCCUGCCGUUCCGCCCUCGGCCUCGCGGCGCCCCCGGAGGUAUCCAACACUUGCAUCUUUGCGCUCGGAGUCUUUACGGAAAUGAAAUC
RNAcentral lists this unclassified non-coding RNA (155 nucleotides) under soil metagenome. Its description in RNAcentral is "partial internal transcribed spacer 1". The record is from RNAcentral.